CCAUCUCUAGGAAGCGUCGAUUGACUAUCCGUAUUUGGGCACUUGGAUGGUCAGGAGCUAGUAGUGCAACCGGCCAGAGGACC
Molecule: non-coding RNA, 83 nt
Filed under: Salimicrobium flavidum
Lineage: Bacteria; Bacillati; Bacillota; Bacilli; Caryophanales; Bacillaceae
Description: c-di-GMP-II sequence
Rfam family: Cyclic di-GMP-II riboswitch aptamer
Source: RNAcentral